Molecule: transfer RNA, 71 nt
Filed under: Cordylochernes scorpioides
Lineage: Eukaryota; Metazoa; Arthropoda; Arachnida; Pseudoscorpiones; Chernetidae
Description: tRNA-Gly
Source: RNAcentral
UGCAUCGGCCGGGAAUCGAACCCUGGCCGGCCGCGUGGCAGGCGAGCAUUCUACCACUGAACCACCGAUGC